Molecule: long non-coding RNA, 776 nt
Filed under: Mytilus galloprovincialis (Mediterranean mussel)
Lineage: Eukaryota; Metazoa; Mollusca; Bivalvia; Mytilida; Mytilidae
Source: RNAcentral
AAUAAAUAAUGUAAACUAGAUAUCAUUGAGAUGGGAGCCAUCUCUGUGGGCCCCGCUGUGAAUAAUGUGCAUUAAAAAAUUGUAUCUUUACCAUAAGACAUGGGUUUGUCAACUGAAAUCAAAGUUUUUGACCUUGACCUUUGACCUAGGAAGUUGUAAAUAAAUUAUGACACACCCUUUGGUGUUGGUUUAUAAACAUGUCAAGUAUAAACUUUGAAAUGAUAACGGUUCUCAAGAUAUAGAGCGGACACGAUCUUUACCAUAGGACAUGGGGUUGUCAACUGAAACCAAAGUUUUUGACCUUGAACUUUGCCCUAGGCAGUCGUUCAUAAAUUAUGACACACCCUCUGGUGUUGGUUCAUAUACAUGUCAAGUAUAAACUUUGAAAUCAUAACGGUUCUCAAGAUAUAGAGCGGACACGAUCUUCACCACAGGACACAGGGUUGUCAACUGAAACCAAAGUUUUUUUACCUUGACCUUUGACCUAGGAAGUUGUACAUACAUCAUGACACGCCCUCUGGUGGUGGUUAAUAAACAUGUAAAGUAUAAAGUAUGAAAUCAUAAUGGUUCUCUAGAUAUGGAGCGGACACAAAGUGUUACGGACGGACGGACAGACGGACGGACGGAUGGACAGACGGACGGACAGACUGAUCACUAUAGGGCGACCUGCCUUUGGCGGGGCCCUAAUUAACAAAGAAUAAAACAAUAUUUUAUUCUACAUUUUCAAAAAAAGGUGAAAUGUCAUUUUUAAAAAGAAACCUGAGUAACCUGUACAG